Molecule: small nuclear RNA, 108 nt
Organism: Sphaerodactylus townsendi
Lineage: Eukaryota; Metazoa; Chordata; Lepidosauria; Squamata; Sphaerodactylidae
Source: RefSeq, a predicted model, not a curated record
GUGCUCGCUUGGGCAGCACAUAUACUAAAAUUGGAACGAUACAGAGAAGAUUAGCAUGGCCCCUGCGCAAUAUUUAUUUUCUAUUCUUCAGUAAAAUCUCAAUAAAAC